Long non-coding RNA from Bos grunniens (domestic yak), 3648 nucleotides. NCBI's taxonomy places the organism in Eukaryota, Metazoa, Chordata, Mammalia, Artiodactyla, Bovidae. The record is from Ensembl.
UCAGAGAGGUGAGCAGCUCUUUUCCUGGGGUCAGGGACGACCAGCUUUGUCCAGAUGCCAGCUCCUUCUGCGGGACCAACCGGACUUGCCCACCUCUGGUGGCCCACCUCUGUCAGAGUCUUUGUUGAACUGUAGCUCAUAAUACUUGAGAUUGUUUACCUGAGCCUAUGAAGAGGAGAAAUUUUAAAGCCCUGCUCCCCCAACACCUUUAGACCUCAUUUGUGCUGUUAAAGUGGCAACCUGUCCUCCUGGUUUACCAUCCAUCAAUGCCCCUCCAUCAUUUCUGCAAAGUCAAAGACCAGUUGACUUUAGAGAGAACCUGUGAACCUACCUACUCUACUACUGUUGGGGAAACUCUUUUAAAAUAUGCAAGGAAUGUUAAAGAAACCGUUUGGUUUCUCUUUCAGUUCGCGUGUUUAGAGCCACUCUGCCCCACUCAUUACCACUACUACCGCUAGCUUCCUUUGGAUUGCUUCCCUUUCCCCAUUCCCUGCCACUGAGCGUGUAGUACUUGGUUCCCAUGAUCUCUCACUCUGUGAACGCACCCAGGCUACACUGAUGAUCUUCUCUUUAUUGGUUGUUCCUCAACAUUCUUAGGUUAGUUGACUUCAUAUCGUAUCUUGAUGUUACUUUGGCUUUAUUUUGACUUUCCUAGCAUUUUAACCCUAGAAAGACGCCUCAAAUCUUAUACAACCCUAUAUUGGGGGUGGAGUGGAAGGCGGCAGAUUGAUGCUAUGAGGACAUCUCGGUACUAGACAGACUUUUCUGUGGCAUACAGCCAUGAAUUAUUUAUGCACCAGAAUGCACUCUCUAAGCACGCUGAUGGCCUUUGCCCUUCAGAAACAUUUGACGUUGGAAUUGUGCGUGGAAAGACUCUUUCCGGCUUAAAACAGGUCUGGUAACCUCUGGAAAGGAACGCUUUUGAAUUAUCAUGGGAAUUAUUUGGCAUCUGGAAGUGGCAUCACGAGAAGUCCACACUAGUAAUCAAAGGGUAAGAUAAAAGUGUUUUUGUCACAAAAGGAGAAGCACACUAGUCACGAUUUGAAUUUGUUAGUUUCUGAUUACUGUUAACUUACAAAUUGUCACCAUCCCAUUCCCUCCAUUGAGUCAUUUUGAGGUCAAAGAAUGGAAAACUCUAUUUAAGAAUCCAUAUAAAUAAUAAAUACAUGCUUGGAAAGAGUGUGAUAAAUUAAUACAAGAUGAACAAAUUAAAAAAAUAGUAUACUCUAUUGGUGUUUGGCAGAUUCAUGUUGAUGUAUGGCAAAACCAAUACAAUAUUAUAAAGUAAUUAGCCUCCAAUUAAAAUAAAUAAAUGUACAUUUAAAUUAAAAAAAAAAACAGUCACCAGAUUUAAGGCUUUACUUAGUUGAAAUCAAAUUUUCCUUACUGGUGGUUUAUGUUUCUCUUCCCAAUUAGAUUUUAUCCAUUGUCAUUCAGUGAACAAAUUACUUUUGACUUUAUCCAUUCAUUCAUUCCUUUUACUCUUUAAGGAGAUUUGAAAGGCUUCCUUAUCCCAAACCCACAUACUAGUAUUAGAGUAAUAUUUACGUGACAGUUACUUAUAUGAAAUGGUUCAACCAGGAAGCUGCUGUUGCAUCCUUGAUGUUUGCCCUUAAUUUUGCAGCCCCCUACCCUUUCUCGUGUUCCCUUAUAUUCCAUAUACCUAACCAACUACAAACAAUAGACUUCAUUUUAUUUGUGUUUAAAAAUAACUGGGGAGAAGAGUAAGUCAUGAUUCAGUUGAAACGUAAAAAUUAUUGUUAUUUUUUUUUUCGGUAAGAAUUUCACUUUCUUUAUAUAAACUCUCUAAGCAAUUUGAAAUCACUUUUUCUUGAGCUGAAUGCCAAGAUGCCAUUUCAUCUAAACAGAGGUAUCCUCAGUUGGGAAAUUCAGAGACUACUUAGCUACAAGUGUACCUUGACUGAAAGAUCUGCUUUUGUUUUCCUACCCAACGAGCUUUAAAUCCUUAAAUUGCUUGUUGCCGCUUACAAUAGAAAGAUGUUCAAUAAUGUACAAAGAGUGACAGCUGAAAUACACUCAUUUAAACAUUUAAACUCUCACAAACCCUGACUGUUGCCAUUUGCCAGUUUGGGCAAUUUAUCAAUACCUGUCUCUAUUUUUCUCUUUUUUUUUUUUUUUUUUUUUUUUUUUUUUUUUUUUUUUUUUUUUUUUUUUUUUUUUUUUUUUUUUUUUUUUUUUUUUUUUUUUUUUUUUUUUUUUUUUUUUUUUUUUUUUUUUGGUAAGAAUUUCACUUUCUUUAUAUAAACUCUCUAAGCAAUUUGAAAUCACUUUUCUUGAGCUGAAUGCCAAGAUGCCAUUUCAUCUAAACAGAGGUAUCCUCAGUUAAAAGUGUUUUUGUCACAAAGGAGAAGCACACUAGUCACGAUUUGAAUUUGUUAGUUUCUGAUUACUGUUAACUUACAAAUUGUCACCAUCCCAUUCCCUCCAUUGAGUCAUUUUGAGGUCAAAGAAUGGAAAACUCUAUUUAAGAAUCCAUAUAAAUAAUAAAUACAUGCUUGGAAAGAGUGUGAUAAAUUAAUACAAGAUGAACAAAUUAAAAAAAUAGUAUACUCUAUUGGUGUUUGGCAGAUUCAUGUUGAUGUAUGGCAAAACCAAUACAAUAUUAUAAAGUAAUUAGCCUCCAAUUAAAAUAAAUAAAUGUACAUUUAAAUUAAAAAAAAAAACAGUCACCAGAUUUAAGGCUUUACUUAGUUGAAAUCAAAUUUUCCUUACUGGUGGUUUAUGUUUCUCUUCCCAAUUAGAUUUUAUCCAUUGUCAUUCAGUGAACAAAUUACUUUUGACUUUAUCCAUUCAUUCAUUCCUUUUACUCUUUAAGGAGAUUUGAAAGGCUUCCUUAUCCCAAACCCACAUACUAGUAUUAGAGUAAUAUUUACGUGACAGUUACUUAUAUGAAAUGGUUCAACCAGGAAGCUGCUGUUGCAUCCUUGAUGUUUGCCCUUAAUUUUGCAGCCCCCUACCCUUUCUCGUGUUCCCUUAUAUUCCAUAUACCUAACCAACUACAAACAAUAGACUUCAUUUUAUUUGUGUUUAAAAAUAACUGGGGAGAAGAGUAAGUCAUGAUUCAGUUGAAACGUAAAAAUUAUUGUUAUUUUUUUUUUUGGUAAGAAUUUCACUUUCUUUAUAUAAACUCUCUAAGCAAUUUGAAAUCACUUUUUCUUGAGCUGAAUGCCAAGAUGCCAUUUCAUCUAAACAGAGGUAUCCUCAGUUGGGAAAUUCAGAGACUACUUAGCUACAAGUGUACCUUGACUGAAAGAUCUGCUUUUGUUUUCCUACCCAACGAGCUUUAAAUCCUUAAAUUGCUUGUUGCCGCUUACAAUAGAAAGAUGUUCAAUAAUGUACAAAGAGUGACAGCUGAAAUACACUCAUUUAAACAUUUAAACUCUCACAAACCCUGACUGUUGCCAUUUGCCAGUUUGGGCAAUUUAUCCAAUACCUGUCUCUAUUUUUUCUCUUUUUUUUUUCUUUUCUUUUUGACUGCUCAGGAUGAGGAAGAAACCUUUUCCCAUGUUGAUACUCAUUUUGUUAGCCUCUUCGUAAGGCAUGGGGAAAUGGGGAGGCAGGGCGAAGUACAGUCAUGGUAACGCUAUAGGAAACCAUCAAGCUAAAUAACAGCAAAGUAAACGCCAC